Molecule: long non-coding RNA, 488 nt
Filed under: Helianthus annuus (common sunflower)
Lineage: Eukaryota; Viridiplantae; Streptophyta; Magnoliopsida; Asterales; Asteraceae
Description: hypothetical non coding rna
Source: RNAcentral
GAAAGAAUCCUUGAUCUGAACCCAAAUAAAGAUAAAAGAUAAGCGGUAGAACUGAAUUGGGGAUGCAGGGCGUGGAGAUAAAUGAUUACUUGGUGUUGCAUCACUGAUUGUUGAUAUAGGUGCUGCUAAUGUAGAACCGUGGAUGAAGCAGAGGAAGACCAAAGAAGAAAGUUGUGAGAUGUAGGAUUCUACAAUCUACAUCCAUCGCUUUUUGACAGAUACAUACUACAUCAUGAUUACUUGAAGUUGCAUUAGUUAUGGUGGUGGUCCUUGAGUCAAUUGGAGCAGCGAGAUGAGACGAAUUUUGACCGAUGGCAGCCUCGCGGUGGCUGUUUGAACCAGAAUCGGUGAAGACGGCUACGUAUGAAUCAUAAUCACUGAAGGGCGGUAUGAUGAGAGAUGUGAAAAUGAUGAACUUUGUAGGGACCCUCCUAUUACAUCGGUAUUUGGCACUUCUGUAUACAUGUUAAUAAAUUUAUGACUUGAGG